UCAGAGCAAUUACAUGACAGUUGAAACAUUAGAAUUUUUAAAUUGCCCAUAGUCCUAUAUCCCUAACAAGUAUGUUCAUGCUUGCAUGUUCUCUUCUCAUCUUUACUGUGUGCAUACUUUCUUAGUAAUGGCACGUAGAAACUAUUCAAGCAGGAAUAAUUCUUAUGAUGAUUUUUUCUGUUUCCUUUUUUCUUUUCAAGGUAUGUACUGGGUGGAGGAACAUUAUGUAUGGAACUUCUCACAAAACAGGGCUGAAGCAGUGCCUACUCAAUAGAACCGGUCAUCGUGCAAAGAAAUGCCACCUGACUCAAAGGCAAAGCCAGAGUGCAGCUUGGAGCAAAGAAGGUACUUUUAUUAAGAAUUUUAAAGAAACCAGAAGAGAUGCUUUAUAUUUGUGAGCCUUCUUCCUGUCUUAAUUCUUUUUGAGAGAAUUCAUUUCAUUUUCAUUUAUUUUUUUUUCUUCUUGUUAUAAAGAUGAUCUAUAGAAAAUAUAGAAGUAUAAGAAAAUUAAAGAUACUGAUAAUCACUUAAUGAUUUAGUAUCUGCUUGUUUAGUCUUUGUUAUAUUUACUGUAGGCAAACAUGGCUACAGUUGUAAAUUUGUUAUUGCUUUGUAUACC
This is a long non-coding RNA of Macaca nemestrina (pig-tailed macaque), 619 nucleotides long. Lineage: Eukaryota; Metazoa; Chordata; Mammalia; Primates; Cercopithecidae. The record is from Ensembl.